ACAUAUCUCCAUUACCCGAAACCCUAAUCCCCCAAUUUCUCUUCCAAUUUGUUUCGAUCACGAUCUCUGAGAAAAUCAAUCAAGAGAGCAAUUCAAAAGCUUCACGGUGGAGAUCAAAUUCUCAUUCAGACAUUACAGAAGGUAUUAUCAUGAGAUUCAGAAAAGGAAGUCGAGUUGAGGUGUUUACAAACAAAGAAGCACCUUAUGGUGCGUGGCGUUGUGCUGAGAUUAUUUCGGGUAAUGGACAUACCUACAAUGUUAGAUAUUGCUCUUUCCAACUUGAACACGAGGAGGAUACCGUGACGGUGAGAGUUCCCAGGAAGAUCAUUAGGCCGUGUCCUCCGCAUGUGGAUGUUCACAGAUGGGAGACUGGUGAACUGGUGGAAGUUCUUGAUAACCAUUCGUGGAAAGCUGCCACUGUUCGAGAGGAGUUAUGUGGAAACUACUAUUUGGUUCGGUUACUUGGGACUCCAGCCGAAUUUACAUUUCAUCAAGUUAACCUCAGGGUCCGACAGUCGUGGCAAGAUGAGACAUGGGUUGCAAUCGGAAAGAUAUCAGGUUCUGUGAAGUCAUCCACACUGACUGGAUCAGACGUACAUCAGAAGCUACAGCCCCAUACGAACAGCAAACUCGUCCAUGAGCCAAGUGUUGUCUCUGCUAGAGUAUUGAAGAGGCCGUCACCCUACAACUGGUCUGAAUGUGCUGAAUCAUGCACAGGAAAACCUAAGAAGAUACGAUCAUUGGAAAAAGAGGGACAGAAGCACCGAUUUUCUGCCUCAUCACUGCAAAAGGUAGAUGCUUUUGCUUGCCGACCUGAAAGUAGGGGUGGUAAAUCUCACGUGCAAGCUUCAUUUAACAACCACAAAACUGGUUGCAGUCAAAUCGUCAGGGUAAGAUCAAAAGGGUUUAGUGAGAGUGUUCGUGCAGGAAGCUUAGACGCUGAUGGUUAUUCUGAUAGUGAUGCAUGCUCGGUUGGUAGUUGUAGUGCUACUAGUUAUGAUGAGAGUAAUAUGCCACCUUGUAUGCUAGAUGACUCUAGUAACCAAUCAGACUCAUGUAGCAGCGAUGCUGAAUCUUCUUGUGGCCUCGAGGAAGAAGCAAGGAGGACACUUUCAUCAGCUCGUGAUGGAGCAGGAAGGUCCUGUAGGUCUGAACUAUAUACUUACCGCAGUACUUUGGGGGAAUUAUUUUCUUCUGGUCCCCUAAGUUGGGAGCAAGAAGUGUCGUUAACUGAUCUUCGUCUUUCUCUUAAUAUAUCAGAUGAUGAACAUUUGAUGGAGGAACAGUGUUGCCUUGUUCGGGGCAUGCAGAUCUUUUGCUUCUAGAGGUUAACUCUGAUGCUGGGGUUUACAACUUCACCCGUGGCCAUCUGAAUGGUGUCCUGGAGUCGCUUUGUCCACAGGGCUUGAAAGCUAUGCUUUAAGCAGGUUUCUUAGAUAUGUUUUACACUCUGGUUGGUAAUUUUGCUGAUAACAUUUCGAGAUCGAGUAGUUUCUCAUUUCUCUUUACACUUUACAGUUCACUCGGUAUAUUUUGCGGUGCUCGUUUUUGUGGUAUUGUGUCUGCUCUGCUCUUGUUACUUCAUUAGAACUGCAUGAUGUAGAUCAGUAGAUCCUACGAUGUUUAAUUUUUACUAGCUUUGUAAGUUAAUUCUGAUAUAUAGAUUUAGAACAAACUGGUGGUCCAGUUACACUGGUUCUGUUUUCGGUGGUCUUUUCCAAAGGCAUAGUCCAUGACACUCAUUCUUUCUGGAAAUAAACGUUGUGCCUGGUGAAAGGUAAGUUUGAAAUGGAGUAACGUUUGUCCGUCUGGAAGAAUUGUAUAUGCUGUGCUCAUCCAGAAAAUAUGUCGUGAAUUGAUGUUGAAUGAUUCCUUAUUCUGAUUUGUUCUCAUGACUUGUUUUCAUGGAAUUUAUCGAGAAGAAAGGGAGCACAUCCCUGCUUUCUUGCAUACUUAGUCGCAUGUGCAUUGUGGAAAUUCUCCAAGCUCACUCUUCAGAUCUCUCCAGCAAAGCUAAUUUUUUGACAUGGCAGUAUGAAACUCUAACACCGAAUUUAUUAAUUUCACCAAGGUAUGUAUCAUUUUGCAAUAUGUUGUGCAUGUUUUCUUAAGUUAGUGGCCUACACAUAUAAUAAAAACGAGUUUCUAAUCACCAAGCAGACUAUCUUGCAAAAGCAACCUGGCAAUACUUGAUUUGUUACUCAGAAAUAUGCCAAAUGUUUCAAUGGUCAUGAAAAGUGAUUAGUCGAUACAAGAACUUGUAAAGUAAGAACCAUAUCUAUGUGAUGAAUGACGAGGAUGUUUUUAUUACAAGCCAUGAGCUGUCCUGUCUUCUUGUAAAUAAAUAAUAAGUGUGUGAUAUAUGAUAGUGAAGUAUAUGGUUAGAAUAAUAAGUGUGUAAAUGGAGGGUUGAAUAAAUGGAGGGUUGUAAAAUAAAGUAGAGAGUUAGAAUAAAUGGAGGGUUGUAAAAUAAAGCAUAAAAAUAUCGUAAGGAAUAUUCUAUGUAAUAUUUCCUAAGACUUGUAAUAUAAAUACUAAGGCUUGGUAAAAAGUUUCAUUCAAGCUGGAGUGAGUAAGUUUGAGUGUGAGAGUCUUAAGAGCCUUUGUAAUCCUUUGAUUGUUUCAAUAAUAAAAUAUAU
Non-coding RNA from Camelina sativa (false flax), 2639 nucleotides. Lineage: Eukaryota; Viridiplantae; Streptophyta; Magnoliopsida; Brassicales; Brassicaceae. The record is from RefSeq and is a predicted model, not a curated record.